GAUGAACGCUGGCGGCGUGCCUAAUACAUGCAAGUCGAGCGAACAGACGAGGAGCUUGCUCCUCUGACGUUAGCGGCGGACGGGUGAGUAACACGUGGAUAACCUACCUAUAAGACUGGGAUAACUUCGGGAAACCGGAGCUAAUACCGGAUAAUAUAUUGAACCGCAUGGUUCAAUAGUGAAAGACGGUUUUGCUGUCACUUAUAGAUGGAUCCGCGCCGCAUUAGCUAGUUGGUAAGGUAACGGCUUACCAAGGCAACGAUGCGUAGCCGACCUGAGAGGGGGAUCGGCCACACUGGAACUGAGACACGGUCCAGACUCCUACGGGAGGCAGCAGUAGGGAAUCUUCCGCAAUGGGCGAAAGCUUGACGGAGCAACGCCGCGUGAGUGAUGAAGGUCUUCGGAUCGUAAAACGCUGUUAUUAGGGAAGAACAAAUGUGUAAGUAACUAUGCACGUCUGGACGGUACCUAAUCAGAAAGCCACGGCUAACUACGU
RNAcentral lists this ribosomal RNA (496 nucleotides) under uncultured bacterium. Its description in RNAcentral is "partial 16S ribosomal RNA". It matches the Rfam family "Bacterial small subunit ribosomal RNA", at positions 28 to 506 of the family's 1533-position model. The record is from RNAcentral.